UACAGAGGGUGCGAGCGUUAAUCGGAAUUACUGGGCGUAAAGCGCGCGUAGGCGGCUUUGCAAGUCGGGUGUGAAAUCCCCAGGCUUAACCUGGGAACUGCAUUCGAGACUGCAUUGCUAGAGUAUGGGAGAGGGAAGUGGAAUUUCCGGUGUAGCGGUGAAAUGCGUAGAUAUCGGAAGGAACAUCAGUGGCGAAAGCGCGCGACUGGACCUCUUCUGACGCUGAGGCGCGAAAGCCAGGGGAGCGAACGGG
RNAcentral lists this ribosomal RNA (253 nucleotides) under uncultured bacterium. RNAcentral describes it as "partial 16S ribosomal RNA". It matches the Rfam family "Bacterial small subunit ribosomal RNA", at positions 524 to 776 of the family's 1533-position model. The record is from RNAcentral.